AAGUUACUUUGUAAGCGUGGGUCACCCUGGAGCUUCAGACCCUCACAAGCCUUGAGAUGGUUAACGCCAUACUAGAGUCUGUUUGUAUGAGUGUCUCAAGCUGUGGCAGUGAGAGCUCUCAUACUUACAUUCUCUCUCUCUUGUCAAAACCCACUCACGUUAUGGUAGACAGCUGUCGUGAUGCAGCAGUUACGCAUGAUUCAGGAAGGCGAAGGCUCACACUGCAUGAUCAUCUGGGAACAGCUCAUGUGCCUGGAGCGCUACAUUACUCUACGUGUGGGAUUCCCUCUUGCAGCAACAUCCUGGUGCUGCAGCAGCAGCAGUUCUUGCCACUACCAUCCUCCUUGCAACACGUCUUAAGCUUUCCAGGACGUGUUCUGUGUUUUCUUUAGUGUUUUCUUCCGUGUAGUGUUCGUAAUCACCGGCCUGGCUUGUCUUCUCGGUAUAAAAGAGCACAAGUCGGAAAUAAUGAUCGCCUCUUUUACAUUUACUUAAAUUCCAUAUUGCCUCUGAUCACUUUAUUGUUUGGUUUGUGUAAUGGUAGCUUUAUGGUUUGUGUCAGCGUUUUUGCAGCUAAACAUGUCCAUUAAUUUUGAAGAAAUAUUACUACGUAAUAUGAUUUACGAUAAGAAAGGAGAGAGAAGUAAUAAGUUUUGAUAGACACGGAUUAGAGGUCACUUCCAUAAGUCCUGGUCAUAUUUACUAAAAAACUUUGGUCAUAUUUAUCCAUAUUGUUAUUGGUUUCAUCGUUAUUUGCUUAUUUAAACCUCCUUUAUGUUACACACAAUUAUGGUGUUUUGUAUAUUGCAUAAAAUAGUACUAAAUAAUCGUACACUGCAGCACAUGUAGUCUACCGUUAUAAAAUAAUAUAUGAAUAUAUUUACAUAUUUUAACUGAUACCCUAAGAUUAUUAUUAUCAUCGUCCCAUCCUACUAAACAAACAACUGUUCACUUAUAGUGCUGACUUUCGAUGUGUUGCUGAACUCAGUGUUCUGGAACACAUGCACCACCUGUAUAUUAAAAAUAACAUGACACAGACUAUCUUCGCUGACGGCUGCUUUAACCUUGACAGUGUAGGAUGGGCGAGAAGUGGUGUUAUUAUAAACCAGUGUGAUGCUACUAUCAUACACAGGUGUAUACGAAUUAAUAACUGGGUUUCCACCUUAUAACUUGGAGUGUCUGUCAUACUUGUUGCUCUCAAGCUUGAAAAUUAAAUAACUACAGUGUCA
Long non-coding RNA from Cherax quadricarinatus, 1229 nucleotides. RefSeq lists it as uncharacterized. The record is from RefSeq and is a predicted model, not a curated record. Lineage: Eukaryota; Metazoa; Arthropoda; Malacostraca; Decapoda; Parastacidae.